UUUUAUGGAGAGUUUGAUCCUGGCUCAGGAUGAACGCUGGCGGCGUGCCUAAUACAUGCAAGUCGAGCGAACGGACGAGAAGCUUGCUUCUCUGAUGUUAGCGGCGGACGGGUGAGUAACACGUGGAUAACCUACCUAUAAGACUGGGAUAACUUCGGGAAACCGGAGCUAAUACCGGAUAAUAUUUUGAACCGCAUGGUUCAAAAGUAAAAGACGGUCUUGCUGUCACUUAUAGAUGGAUCCGCGCUGCAUUAGCUAGUUGGUAAGGUAACGGCUUACCAAGGCAACGAUGCAUAGCCGACCUGAGAGGGUGAUCGGCCACACUGGAACUGAGACACGGUCCAGACUCCUACGGGAGGCAGCAGUAGGGAAUCUUCCGCAAUGGGCGAAAGCCUGACGGAGCAACGCCGCGUGAGUGAUGAAGGUCUUCGGAUCGUAAAACUCUGUUAUUAGGGAAGAACAUAUGUGUAAGUAACUGUGCACAUCUUGACGGUACCUAAUCAGAAAGCCACGGCUAACUACGUGCCAGCAGCCGCGGUAAUACGU
Molecule: ribosomal RNA, 546 nt
Filed under: Staphylococcus aureus
Lineage: Bacteria; Bacillati; Bacillota; Bacilli; Caryophanales; Staphylococcaceae
Description: bacterial SSU rRNA
Rfam family: Bacterial small subunit ribosomal RNA
Source: RNAcentral